GAUGAACGCUGGCGGCGUGCCUAAUACAUGCAAGUCGAGCGAACGGACGAGAAGCUUGCUUCUCUGAUGUUAGCGGCGGACGGGUGAGUAACACGUGGAUAACCUACCUAUAAGACUGGGAUAACUUCGGGAAACCGGAGCUAAUACCGGAUGAUAUUUUGAACCGCAUGGUUCAAAAGUGAAAGACGGUCUUGCUGUCACUUAUAGAUGGAUCCGCGCUGCAUUAGCUAGUUGGUAAGGUAACGGCUUACCAAGGCAACGAUGCAUAGCCGACCUGAGAGGGUGAUCGGCCACACUGGAACUGAGACACGGUCCAGACUCCUACGGGAGGCAGCAGUAGGGAAUCUUACGCAAUGGGCGAAAGCCUGACGGAGCAACGCCGCGUGAGUGAUGAAGGUCUUCGGAUCGUAAAGCUCUGUUAUUGGGGAAGAACAUAUGUGUAAGUAACUGUGCACAUCUUGACGGUACCUAAUCAGAAAGCCACGGCUAACUACGUG
This 497-nucleotide ribosomal RNA is filed under the name uncultured bacterium. RNAcentral's name for it is "partial 16S ribosomal RNA". It matches the Rfam family "Bacterial small subunit ribosomal RNA", at positions 28 to 507 of the family's 1533-position model. The record is from RNAcentral.